RNAcentral lists this long non-coding RNA (499 nucleotides) under Ananas comosus (pineapple). Its description in RNAcentral is "long non-coding RNA (ACOM_LNC040757)". The record is from RNAcentral. Lineage: Eukaryota; Viridiplantae; Streptophyta; Magnoliopsida; Poales; Bromeliaceae.
UAUUGGACACGGUGAACUGUUCACCGUAAACACGGUGAACAGUUCACUGUGUCCAAUACACAUAUCUAAGUCUUAGCCAAAAAUGGCUAAGUCCCGGGUAUUUGUAUUGGACACGGUGAAUGGUUCACCAUGUCCAAUACAACUAACCUGACUUAGCCAUUUUUUUGGCGCAAAAAAUCAAAUCAAUACACAUCACAACAUCGCCAUAUUUUUUGUGCAAAAAAUCAAAUCAAUAUACAUCACAACAUCACAACACAAUAAUACAAUACAGAUACCUAAACGCAACAGUAUAAUACAACAUCACAGCAUCACAACACAACAGUACAAUAUACACAUCACUACCAACAAAAUCUCAAUAAAGUAUCAAUACUAGAUNAUUAAAAUUGCAAAAAUGGCCCUGUCUCUGCCACGCAGGCGCCACGUCAGCGCCACGCGGGCAGGGCUGGAGCCAGGGUAUGAAGUUGAACACGGUGAAUCAUUUACCGUAUCUAUACACGGU